Molecule: ribosomal RNA, 492 nt
Filed under: uncultured bacterium
Lineage: Bacteria
Description: partial 16S ribosomal RNA
Rfam family: Bacterial small subunit ribosomal RNA
Source: RNAcentral
AGUGAACGCUGGCGGUAGGCCUAACACAUGCAAGUCGAACGGCAGCACAGUAAGAGCUUGCUCUUACGGGUGGCGAGUGGCGGACGGGUGAGGAAUACAUCGGAAUCUACUUUUUCGUGGGGGAUAACGUAGGGAAACUUACGCUAAUACCGCAUACGACCUACGGGUGAAAGCAGGGGAUCUUCGGACCUUGCGCGAUUGAAUGAGCCGAUGUCGGAUUAGCUAGUUGGCGGGGUAAAGGCCCACCAAGGCGACGAUCCGUAGCUGGUCUGCGAGGAUGAUCAGCCACACUGGAACUGAGACACGGUCCAGACUCCUACGGGAGGCAGCAGUGGGGAAUAUUGGACAAUGGGCGAAAGCCUGAUCCAGCCAUACCGCGUGGGUGAAGAAGGCCUUCGGGUUGUAAAGCCCUUUUGUUGGGAAAGAAAAGCAGCAGGUUAAUACCCCGCUGUUCUGACGGUACCCAAGGAAUAAGCACCGGCUAACUUCGUG